This 258-nucleotide ribosomal RNA is filed under the name uncultured bacterium. RNAcentral describes it as "partial small subunit ribosomal RNA". It matches the Rfam family "Bacterial small subunit ribosomal RNA", at positions 26 to 285 of the family's 1533-position model. The record is from RNAcentral.
AGGACGAACGCUGGCGGCGUGCUUAACACAUGCAAGUCGAGCGAGGCCCCUCCUUCGGGAGGGUGUCCUAGCGGCGAACGGGUGAGUAACACGUGGGCAACCUGCCCUCAGCUCUGGGAUAACCCCGGGAAACCGGGCUAAUACCGGAUACGACCUCCACGGGCAUCUGCGGAGGUGGAAAGGUUUUCCGGCUGAGGAUGGGCCCGCGGCCUAUCAGCUAGUUGGUGGGGUGAUGGCCCACCAAGGCGACGACGGGUA